AAACUUCUAGCUCAAUUUGUGAAAAGUCUUGGCCCCCAAACAAAAAAAAAAAUAAUAAUAAUAAUAAAUAAAUAAAAAAAGAAAAAAAAAAGAAAGAAAAGGGGGCUAGCAAAGUUGUUUAGAGCUAAGAUUUGUUUAGAAGUUGAGAAAAUCCUUUAUAGAUUUCAAAGAAAAAGAGUUUUAUGUGCAAAGUAUUCUUGGGAUCUUUUGGUGAGAGAUGGAAGUUGGGUUUGACAUUGGGAAGUGAUUGUGUAACUUGUAUGUUUGGGAAAGGGUAGAACAAUGGAGAUUGAGCAUUGUAUGCAUGAGUUGGUCCAUUUCUUAGAUAUAUUAUGUGCAAUGUCAAGGCUACUUGUUUUG
RNAcentral lists this long non-coding RNA (360 nucleotides) under Brassica napus (rape). RNAcentral's name for it is "long non-coding RNA (BNAP_LNC011472)". The record is from RNAcentral. Lineage: Eukaryota; Viridiplantae; Streptophyta; Magnoliopsida; Brassicales; Brassicaceae.